CUACAGUCGAAUGCUCUACCAAGGGCUCAGGAUGAUUCGAUGUUCGUGCCUACUGAGCUACGUCAGG
This 67-nucleotide transfer RNA is filed under the name Galdieria sulphuraria. RNAcentral's name for it is "tRNA-Tyr". Lineage: Eukaryota; Rhodophyta; Bangiophyceae; Galdieriales; Galdieriaceae. The record is from RNAcentral.